Molecule: ribosomal RNA, 424 nt
Filed under: uncultured bacterium
Lineage: Bacteria
Description: partial 16S ribosomal RNA
Rfam family: Bacterial small subunit ribosomal RNA
Source: RNAcentral
GUGGGGAAUAUUGGACAAUGGGCGCAAGCCUGAUCCAGCCAUGCCGCGUGAGUGAUGAAGGCCCUAGGGUUGUAAAGCUCUUUCACCGGAGAAGAUAUGACGGUAUCCGGAGAAGAAGCCCCGGCUAACUUCGUGCCAGCAGACGCGGUAAUACGAAGGGGGCUAGCGUUGUUCGGAAUUACUGGGCGGAAAGCGCACGUAGGCGGACAUUUAAGUCAGGGGUGAAAUCCCGGAGCUCAACUCCGGAAUUGCCUUUGAUACUGGGUGUCUGGAGUAUGGAAGAGGUGAGUGGAAUUCCGAGUGUAGAGGUGAAAUUCGUAGAUAUUCGGAGGAACACCAGUGGCGAAGGCGGCUCACUGGUCCAUUACUGACGCUGAGGUGCGAAAGCGUGGGGAGCAAACAGGAUUAGAUACCCUAGUAGUCC